RNAcentral lists this ribosomal RNA (253 nucleotides) under uncultured bacterium. Its description in RNAcentral is "partial 16S ribosomal RNA". It matches the Rfam family "Bacterial small subunit ribosomal RNA", at positions 524 to 776 of the family's 1533-position model. The record is from RNAcentral.
UACGUAGGGUGCGAGCGUUGUCCGGAAUUACUGGGCGUAAAGAGCUCGUAGGUGGUUUGUCGCGUUGUUCGUGAAAACUCACAGCUUAACUGUGGGCGUGCGGGCGAUACGGGCAGACUGGAGUACUGCAGGGGAGACUGGAAUUCCUGGUGUAGCGGUGGAAUGCGCAGAUAUCAGGAGGAACACCGGUGGCGAAGGCGGGUCUCUGGGCAGUAACUGACGCUCAUACACGACAGCAUGGGGAGCGAACGGG